RNAcentral lists this transfer RNA (71 nucleotides) under bacterium. RNAcentral's name for it is "tRNA-Gly". It matches the Rfam family "tRNA". From Rfam's summary of the family: Transfer RNA (tRNA) molecules are approximately 80 nucleotides in length. Their secondary structure includes four short double-helical elements and three loops (D, anti-codon, and T loops). The record is from RNAcentral.
GCGGGAUUGGUUCAAUGGUAGAACAUCUGCUUCCCAAGCAGAGGACACGAGUUCGAUUCUCGUAUCUCGCA